This 44-nucleotide unclassified non-coding RNA is filed under the name Leishmania tarentolae. RNAcentral's name for it is "guide RNA". Lineage: Eukaryota; Euglenozoa; Kinetoplastea; Trypanosomatida; Trypanosomatidae. The record is from RNAcentral.
AAUAUAAACGCAGAAGAUGGUUACCAUGAACACAGAUAUUAACA